This 472-nucleotide ribosomal RNA is filed under the name Astrothorax misakiensis. RNAcentral describes it as "partial 16S ribosomal RNA". It matches the Rfam family "Bacterial large subunit ribosomal RNA", at positions 1856 to 2597 of the family's 2925-position model. The record is from RNAcentral. Lineage: Eukaryota; Metazoa; Echinodermata; Ophiuroidea; Euryalida; Gorgonocephalidae.
UGCCUGCCCAGUGAUUAUUAAAAUUAAACGGCUGCGGUACUCUGACCGUGCAAAGGUAGCAUAAUCAUUAGUCUGUUAAUUUCAGACUGGAAUCAAUGGCAAGACGAGGGAAAGACUGUCUCUUUCUAUUAUUUUAGAAAUUUUCUUUUUGGUGAAGAGGCCGAAAUGAGAAAGUGGGACGAGAAGACCCUAUUGAGUUUUAGCCAUUUAAUAAAAAAUAUUUUUUUUUGAUGGCUUUGGUUGGGGCAACUAUUUAUUAAAUUAAACAUUUAUAAAAAAAGUGAAUUGAAUCUCAAAUAAAAAUAAACCCAGAAAUUUGUUCUGGAGUUAAAAAAAAUUACCUUAGGGAUAACAGCGUAAUUCUUCUUGAGAGUGCGUAUUGACAGAAGAGUUUGCGACCUCGAUGUUGGAUCAAGUUUUCCCGAAGGUGCAGCAGCUUUUAAUGGUUGGUUUGUUCAACCAUAAAAAUCUU